ACUUUUUGAUUUUGUAUCAGUUGGGACCUACUUCUAUUAUAUUAAUUGAUAUUUUUACAAUUAGUGAAAAUUGGUGUAGAAGGCACUAUAGCAGCGUUCCAGACGCUCACCAUUCUAAAGCAACCAAAGUGUGCAUAAUUUCGUCUCCCAUAGAGCCAGUUGCCGAAGACGAAGAAGACGAUGACGGUAUUGAAAAUGGUGAUAAUAUUAUAUUCAACACAAAUAAAACACACGAUUACACGUUUUUCCCAGAAAAAUGGAAACAAAUUUUGCGAUAUACGAAACUGGCAAUAUUAAUAAUUUUCUGGUUACUAAUCACUAUAAUUUUAAUGAGGAAAACAGAGAUUGUUCCAGGGACACAUCAAAUAAACGUUGCAAAGGGGAAGGCUAAAAGUUUUUCAAUAUUUGACGCCCCGAAAUCAAAAAAGCUCGAGAUAAUGUUAGAUGGCGCUAUGCUGCCUGAAUAUUACAGAAACCUGUCACAACAUUCGAUGGAUGUAUGGGUUGAAGGGGUGGUCACGUCGCAACCCGCAAACAAUAAUAGCAAUCUAAAGGAAGCAAACGUCUUAUCAGUAAA
This is a long non-coding RNA of Agrilus planipennis (emerald ash borer), 577 nucleotides long. RefSeq lists it as uncharacterized. NCBI's taxonomy places the organism in Eukaryota, Metazoa, Arthropoda, Insecta, Coleoptera, Buprestidae. The transcript is spliced from 3 exons. The record is from RefSeq and is a predicted model, not a curated record.